UAGGGUAUAGUGUAAUUGGAAACGCAUUUACUUUGGGUGUAAAAGAAUUAUAGGUUCAAAUCCUAUUACCCUAA
RNAcentral lists this transfer RNA (74 nucleotides) under Melanthalia intermedia. Its description in RNAcentral is "tRNA-Pro". It matches the Rfam family "tRNA". From Rfam's summary of the family: Transfer RNA (tRNA) molecules are approximately 80 nucleotides in length. Their secondary structure includes four short double-helical elements and three loops (D, anti-codon, and T loops). Lineage: Eukaryota; Rhodophyta; Florideophyceae; Gracilariales; Gracilariaceae. The record is from RNAcentral.